GAUGAACGCUGGCGGCGUGCCUAACACAUCCCUGUCGAGCGAUCUUCUUCGGAAGAGAGCGGCGGACGGGUGCCUAACGCGUGGGUAACCUGCCCUGUACACACGGAUAACAUACCGAAAGGUAUGCUAAUACGAGAUAAUAUGUUUUUGUCGCAUGGUAGAAGUAUCAAAGCUUUUGCGGUACAGGAUGGACCCGCGUCUGAUUAGCUAGUUGGUAAGGUAACGGCUUACCAAGGCGACGAUCAGUAGCCGACCUGAGAGGGUGAUCGGCCACAUUGGAACUGAGACACGGUCCAAACUCCUACGGGAGGCAGCAGUGGGGAAUAUUGCACAAUGGGCGAAAGCCUGAUGCAGCAACGCCGCGUGAGCGAUGAAGGCCUUCGGGUCGUAAAGCUCUGUCCUCAAGGAAGAUAAUGACGGUACUUGAGGAGGAAGCCCCGGCUAACUACGUGCCUGCAGCCGCGGUAAUACGUAGGGGGCUAGCGUUAUCCGGAAUUACUGGGCGUAAAGGGUGCGUAGGUGGUUUCUUAAGUCAGAGGUGAAAGGCUACGGCUCAACCGUAGUAAGCCUUUGAAACUGGGAAACUUGAGUGCAGGAGAGGAGAGUGGAAUUCCUAGUGUAGCGGUGAAAUGCGU
RNAcentral lists this ribosomal RNA (635 nucleotides) under uncultured bacterium. Its description in RNAcentral is "bacterial SSU rRNA". It matches the Rfam family "Bacterial small subunit ribosomal RNA", at positions 28 to 691 of the family's 1533-position model. The record is from RNAcentral.